AAUAGAUACCCUGGUAGUCCACGCCGUAAACGAUGAGUGCUAAGUGUUAGGGGGGUUUCCGCCCCUUAGUGCUGCAGCUAACGCAUUAAGCACUCCGCCUGGGGAGUACGGUCGCAAGACUGAAACUCAAAGGAAUUGACGGGGGGCCCGCACAAGCGGUGGAGCAUGUGGUUUAAUUCGAAGCAACGCGAAGAACCUUACCAGGUCUUGACAUCCCACUGACCGCUAUGGAGACAUAGUUUUCCCUUCGGGGACAGUGGUGACAGGUGGUGCAUGGUUGUCGUCAGCUCGUGUCGUGAGAUGUUGGGUUAAGUCCCGCAACGAGCGCAACCCUUGAUCUUAGUUGCCAUCAUUUAGUUGGGCACUCUAAGGUGACUGCCGGUGACAAACCGGAGGAAGGUGGGGAUGACGUCAAAUCAUCAUGCCCCUUAUGACCUGGGCUACACACGUGCUACAAUGGACGGUACAAACGGUUGCCAACCCGGCGAGGGGGAGCUAAUCCGGAUAAAACCGUUCUCAGUUCGGAUUGUAGGCUGCAACUCGCCUAC
RNAcentral lists this ribosomal RNA (548 nucleotides) under uncultured bacterium. RNAcentral's name for it is "bacterial SSU rRNA". It matches the Rfam family "Bacterial small subunit ribosomal RNA", at positions 777 to 1319 of the family's 1533-position model. The record is from RNAcentral.